AACGAACGCUGGCGGCAGGCCUAACACAUGCAAGUCGAGCGAGGACUUCGGUUCUAGCGGCGGACGGGUGAGUAACGCGUGGGAAUGUGCCCUUCUCUACGGAAUAGCCCUGGGAAACUGGGAGUAAUACCGUAUACGCCCUAUUGGGGAAAGAUUUAUCGGAGAAGGAUCAGCCCGCGUUGGAUUAGGUAGUUGGUGGGUUAAUGGCCUACCAAGCCGACGAUCCAUAGCUGGUUUGAGAGGAUGAUCAGCCACACUGGGACUGAGACACGGCCCAGACUCCUACGGGAGGCAGCAGUGGGGAAUCUUAGACAAUGGGGGCAACCCUGAUCGAGCCAUGCCGCGUGAGUGAUGAAGGCCUUAGGGUUGUAAAGCUCUUUCAGCUGGGAAGAUAAUGACGGUACCAGCAGAAGAAGCCCCGGCUAACUCCGUG
RNAcentral lists this ribosomal RNA (433 nucleotides) under uncultured bacterium. Its description in RNAcentral is "partial 16S ribosomal RNA". It matches the Rfam family "Bacterial small subunit ribosomal RNA", at positions 29 to 507 of the family's 1533-position model. The record is from RNAcentral.